CAUUUUGAUAGUAGUUCUAAGAAUUUCAUCAUAACAUAUGAUUUCUAUUUUGAAAGAUGUAUUCCUUAUGAUGAAUCUACCAAAUAAUAUUUAUUUAUAUACUUAUUUGGAGUACAAUCAUCUACAACCUAUAUGAUUGACUUUAGGGCAUAUUUUCCAACAAAAAAUCUUAGAUCAGCUUAUAUUGAAACUCAUCCUUUGAUCGACCUUGAGAUGCUAAAAGCCUUUAAUCGACUUAUAUUGAAACUUGGCCUU
RNAcentral lists this long non-coding RNA (255 nucleotides) under Elaeis guineensis (African oil palm). RNAcentral describes it as "long non-coding RNA (EGUI_LNC041122)". The record is from RNAcentral. Lineage: Eukaryota; Viridiplantae; Streptophyta; Magnoliopsida; Arecales; Arecaceae.